CUUUGGCCCAGAGUAACCCCGCUCUCGUGACCUUUCCCCUCCAUUCCGGACCUCCGAGUGCUGGCCGGGCGAGAGGCUGGCGGCUGGGCUCUCGCGCCCCUCCCUGCAGGGCUCAGGCUCUCCCCCUCCUGUCUUCUCCGCGCUGUUCCUCGUCAUGGCGGCCCUCAGCAAGUCCAUCCCUCAUAACUGCUAUGAGAUCGGCCACACUUGGCACCCUUCCUGCCGGGUCUCCUUCCUGCAGAUCACCGGGGGCGCCCUGGAGGAGUCCCUGAAGAUCUAUGCUCCUCUGUACUUGAUUGCAGCAAUUCUCCGGAAACGGAAAUUAGACUAUUAUUUACACAAACUACUCCCUGAGAUCCUACAAUCCGCUUCAUUUCUAACUGCUAAUGGGGCCUUGUAUAUGGCUUCCUUUUGCAUUUUAAGGAAGAUACUUGGAAAAUUCUACUCAUGGACUCCUGGCUUUGGUGCCGCUCUGCCAGCAUCUUAUGUGGCCAUUCUCAUUGAAAGAAAAAGCAGGAGAGGGCUGCUCACAAUUUAUAUGGCCAACUUGGCCACAGAAACACUAUUCAGAAUGGGUGUAGCAAGAGGAACCAUCACAACAUUAAGAAAUGGAGAAGUAAGAUGAGAAUUUUGAUAUAGUUAUUAGUUGUUAAUUUAUAGUUUGCGAUUUUAAAAUAUAAAAUGUGAUGAAAUCUAUGAUGCUUUAUCUAAGAGAGAGAUAUCUGAUGUAUGUAAUAUUGAGUGUACCUGAUGAACAAAUCCGUUUUAAUUCAUAGUCAUGUUGGAACCAGAUCUUAGAUUGAAAACAAAUUACUGUCUUUUUACCUUUAGUUAUCAAAUAUCUUUACUCUUAAAAAAUGACAUUUUAUUAGUAACUUCUACAAAUGUUUGUAAUGAAAAAAGAAUUCCUUAGCUUUUGCUUUCUUUCUAUUUUGUGUUAUACAGAACUGAUACUUAUUUCUUAAGAUAAAAUAAUCGGAAAUGUUGAACAUUUACUACACGUGGAGAGAAGGGAAGGAAGAGGGAGAGGGAGAAGGAGAAAAAAGCUGGAGAGGAUUUUGUCUGCAGAUGCUAAGUUUUGACUUUUUAA
RNAcentral lists this small RNA (1090 nucleotides) under Pan troglodytes (chimpanzee). RNAcentral describes it as "retained intron". The record is from RNAcentral. Lineage: Eukaryota; Metazoa; Chordata; Mammalia; Primates; Hominidae.